Rattus norvegicus (Norway rat) is the source of this 912-nucleotide non-coding RNA. The record is from RefSeq and is a predicted model, not a curated record. NCBI's taxonomy places the organism in Eukaryota, Metazoa, Chordata, Mammalia, Rodentia, Muridae.
UGCCCUAUAAUGGGGAGGAGGAAUUUGUAAAGUCCCCUUCCAAGCAGAAAGACUGGGCAUCAAGUGUGGGAUGGUGUUGCUAUCCCAAAGUCAAAUCUCUGACUCAUAAUUGUUCCUUUUUGAAAGAUCUUCAGGGCUAGAAAUGGAGAAGAUACUGAGCAAUAGAAUGUCCACCAAAGUGCCCAGGUCACAGGGAGGCCCCAAGGACUGCCAUUAUUACCAAAGCUAUGGAACACUCAAAAAAAGUGAGGUAACAUGACUGCUCUCUGAAAGACCCACCAAGCAGCUGAAAGAGUCAGAUGCAGAUAUUUGCACUCAACCAUUGAACAGAAGCCGCUGAUCCCUGUGGUUGAAUGAGGGAAAAGCUGGAAGAAGCCGAGGAGGAUGGCAAAUCUGUAGGAGGAACAGCAGUCUCAAUUAACCUGACCCCCCCCAGAGAUCUCUUCAAUCAGGCAGCAUCCACCACCUGAUAUGAGGCCUCCAACACAUAUACAGUAGAAGACUGCCAGGUCUGUGUUCAAUCAGAGAAAAUGCACCUAGCCCUCAAGACACUGGAGGCCCCAGGGAGCUGUGAAGAAAGGAGUGGGAUGGAGAGCAAAGUGUGUCAGUCUCUUGUUACACCUUGAAGACUCCUGAUCUGCAGUACAUAGCAUUAUAUCGAAGAUGGAUCGUGGAAGACAGGUGAGACAGCAAAAAGGAACCAAGGCUUCUCUGUCUUUGUGGAAGUCCUAACAGGUGACAAUUCUCUCCCACUCCUGAGUAACCUCAUCAGGCAACCUUCAUUGGCACAUGGUGAUGGUGUGGCAAGAUACAGUUGGCCAAAGAGUUAGGGGCUUGGGAUUGGCUCAAACACUGUAUAUAAACUUAUACACUGGGCAAUAAACUAAGGUCUGUACCUUGAUUCUUUUCUCU